RNAcentral lists this ribosomal RNA (313 nucleotides) under uncultured bacterium. Its description in RNAcentral is "bacterial SSU rRNA". It matches the Rfam family "Bacterial small subunit ribosomal RNA", at positions 28 to 334 of the family's 1533-position model. The record is from RNAcentral.
GAUGAACGCUGGCGGCGUGCCUAACACAUGCAAGUCGAACGGACUUAAAUUGAAACCUAGUGAAGUUUAAGUUAGUGGCGGACGGGUGAGUAACGCGUGGAUAACCUGCCGUAUGCAGGGGGAUACCAACUGGAAACAGUUGCUAAUACCGCAUAAGCGCACAGUACCGCAUGGUAUAGUGUGAAAAGAUUUAUCGGCAUACGAUGGAUCCGCGUCCGAUUAGCCAGUUGGCGGGGUAGAAGCCCACCAAAGCGACGAUCGGUAGCCGGCCUGAGAGGGCGGACGGCCACAUUGGGACUGAGACACGGCCCAA